GAUGAACGCUGGCGGCGUGCCUAAUACAUGCAAGUCGAGCGAACAGACGAGGAGCUUGCUCCUCUGACGUUAGCGGCGGACGGGUGAGUAACACGUGGAUAACCCACCUAUAAGACUGGGAUAACUUCGGGAAACCGGAGCUAAUACCGGAUAAUAUAUUGAACCGCAUGGUUCAAUAGUGAAAGACGGUUUUGCUGUCACUUAUAGAUGGAUCCGCGCCGCAUUAGCUAGUUGGUAAGGUAACGGCUUACCAAGGAAACGAUGCGUAGCCGACCUGAGAGGGUGAUCGGCCACACUGGAACUGAGACACGGUCCAGACUCCUACGGGAGGCAGCAGUAGGGAAUCUUCCGCAAUGGGCGAAAGCCUGACGGAGCAACGCCGCGUGAGUGAUGAAGGUCUUCGGAUCGUAAAACUCUGUUAUUAGGGAAGAACAAAUGUGUAAGUAACUAUGCACGUCUUGACGGUACCUAAUCAGAAAGCCACGGCUAACUACGU
This 496-nucleotide ribosomal RNA is filed under the name uncultured bacterium. Its description in RNAcentral is "partial 16S ribosomal RNA". It matches the Rfam family "Bacterial small subunit ribosomal RNA", at positions 28 to 506 of the family's 1533-position model. The record is from RNAcentral.